ACUGAUUUGAAGAGCUUGCUCAGAUAUGACGAUGAACAUUGCAAAGAGUGGCGAACGGGUGAGUGACACGUGGGAAACCUACCUCUUAGCAGGGGAUAACAUUUGGAAACAGAUGCUAAUACCGUAUAACAAUAGCAACCGCAUGGUUGCUACUUAAAAGAUGGUUCUGCUAUCACUAAGAGAUGGUCCCGCGGUGCAUUAGUUAGUUGGUGAGGUAAUGGCUCACCAAGACGAUGAUGCAUAGCCGAGUUGAGAGACUGAUCGGCCACAAUGGGACUGAGACACGGCCCAUACUCCUACGGGAGGCAGCAGUAGGGAAUCUUCCACAAUGGGCGAAAGCCUGAUGGAGCAACGCCGCGUGUGUGAUGAAGGGUUUCGGCUCGUAAAACACUGUUGUAAGAGAAGAAUGACAUUGAGAGUAACUGUUCAAUGUGUGACGGUAUCUUACCAGAAAGGAACGGCUAAAUACGUGCCAGCAGCCGCGGUAAUACGUAUGUUCCAAGCGUUAUCCGGAUUUAUUGGGCGUAAAGCGAGCGCAGACGGUUAUUUAAGUCUGAAGUGAAAGUCCUCAGCUCAACUGAGGAAUUGCUUUGGAAACUGGAUGACUUGAGUGCAGUAGAGGAAAGUGGAACUCCAUGUGUAGCGGUGAAAUGCGUAGAUAUAUGGAAGAACACCAGUGGCGAAAGCGGCUUUCUGGACUGUAACUGACGUUGAGGCUCGAAAGUGUGGGUAGCAAACAGGAUUAGAUACCCUGGUAGUCCACACCGUAAACGAUGAGUGCUAGGUGUUUGAGGGUUUCCGCCCUUAAGUGCCGCAG
Molecule: ribosomal RNA, 817 nt
Filed under: uncultured Weissella sp.
Lineage: Bacteria; Bacillati; Bacillota; Bacilli; Lactobacillales; Lactobacillaceae
Description: bacterial SSU rRNA
Rfam family: Bacterial small subunit ribosomal RNA
Source: RNAcentral